This is a non-coding RNA of Schistosoma curassoni, 46 nucleotides long. Lineage: Eukaryota; Metazoa; Platyhelminthes; Trematoda; Strigeidida; Schistosomatidae. The record is from Rfam.
GCAUUGCUGGGGAGUCCCAUACUAGGACGAAACGGCCGUCCAGUGC